ACCUAUAGUUGCACCGCACCACAGAGAUAGCGGUCCCUGCCGUAAAUUCUGACUGGUAGCGAUGUUGUGUUUGCAAUUUUUCCGGCUUGCCGGACGAUAGUACCUUUCUACUAUCACACUUCCUGAUUUUUUGGCGUGAUAUGCCAUAGAUUAUUUUUGGCACUGGGCAGCUUUGCUCAGUGCUUUUUUCU
RNAcentral lists this non-coding RNA (191 nucleotides) under Veronia pacifica. Its description in RNAcentral is "Enterovibrio sp. sw014 GcvB RNA". It matches the Rfam family "GcvB RNA". Rfam says of the family: The gcvB gene encodes a small untranslated RNA involved in expression of the dipeptide and oligopeptide transport systems in Escherichia coli. Included several unknown homologues in alignment (Bateman A pers obs). Lineage: Bacteria; Pseudomonadati; Pseudomonadota; Gammaproteobacteria; Vibrionales; Vibrionaceae. The record is from Rfam by way of RNAcentral.